CAGAGGCUGGUAGGUGGCCAUUGCUAAGAGCCAGUAGGGGUCUGGUUCAAAGCUGAGGUCUUUUGCCAAAAGGUGUCAAUAUGGGGAAGUACAGGAGGAAGUCAAAGUGCAAGAGUACUGCUAGGAAUGAGUAAUCUAGAAACCACUUACCAGGCUGCCAAGAUCUUUUUGGACCCAACUUUGUCAUAUGCUGCAUUUGCUGUCCUUCUGAACUUUGUGUUGAAUUCCAUCUAAGCUGUCACCAUCACAUGUCAUCACCCUCUAGAAAAAUGGUCAGAUUGAAAGGAUGAGGCAGACCACUAAGGAUGCCCUGAAGCAGAUUGUUGGAAGAGACGGGCCAGUAAGACUUGCCAAGGAUCUCACUGUUCAGUAUGUCAUUCCAUGUUAAACCGGUGGAAUUGUGUUGAAUUACAGAUGUGGGCAAUAUAUCAAGAUUUCCCUUAACUGUUUUCAUCCACAGUUUCCUGAGAAUUUACAAGACCC
Molecule: long non-coding RNA, 483 nt
Filed under: Monodelphis domestica (gray short-tailed opossum)
Lineage: Eukaryota; Metazoa; Chordata; Mammalia; Didelphimorphia; Didelphidae
Description: lncRNA (ENSMODG00000043136.1)
Source: RNAcentral